GUGAGGAAUAUUGCGCAAUGGAGGCAACUCUGACGCAGCCAUGCCGCGUGCAGGAAGAAGGCGCUACGCGUUGUAAACUGCUUUUAACCGGGAAGAAACCCCAGGACGUGUCCUGGGUUGACGGUACCGGAGGAAUAAGCACCGGCUAACUUCGUGCCAGCAGCCGCGGUAAUACGAAGGGUGCAAGCGUUAUCCGGAUUCAUUGGGUUUAAAGGGUGCGUAGGCGGAGCGUUAAGUCAGUGGUGAAAUCCUGCCGCUUAACUGUAGACUUGCCAUUGAUACUGGCGCUCUUGAGUGCGCUUGAAGUGGGCGGAAUGUGCCGUGUAGCGGUGAAAUGCUUAGAUAUGGCACAGAACACCAAUUGCGAAGGCAGCUCACUAAGGCGAUACUGACGCUGAGGCACGAAAGCGUGGGGAUCGAACAGGAUUAGAUACCCGAGUAGUCC
Molecule: ribosomal RNA, 445 nt
Filed under: uncultured bacterium
Lineage: Bacteria
Description: partial 16S ribosomal RNA
Rfam family: Bacterial small subunit ribosomal RNA
Source: RNAcentral